This 361-nucleotide long non-coding RNA is filed under the name Homo sapiens (human). Its description in RNAcentral is "HSALNT0219989". Lineage: Eukaryota; Metazoa; Chordata; Mammalia; Primates; Hominidae. The record is from RNAcentral.
UAGAAGUGUAAAUGUCUGUGUCUGUUGGUGAGACAGAGGACGUGGGCGCCCGCCGAAGUACGUGUGCGCGCGCGCGUUUGCAGGAAAACGUGCAUGGAUUUCUUCGGAGAAGGCGCCUAGGCGCUGUCCGUAGUGCUGAAAUGGUGCGUGGUGAGACCUGUCUCCCCAACACAAGCUAGAAGACAACAAAAUAGCAGCCAGGAAACGCUCUGAUAAAGCUCUAGAUAGCUGCCAGGUGAUGCCAGAGAUUACUAGUUUUGGGACCAAUUAAAGUAGCAAGAUGCAGCCAGGAGUGGUGGCUUAUGCCUGUAAUCCCAGCACUUUGGGAGGCCGAGGUAGGAGGAUCACCUGAGGUGAGGAG